This is a non-coding RNA of Trichonephila inaurata madagascariensis, 72 nucleotides long. The record is from the annotation of a GenBank genome assembly. NCBI's taxonomy places the organism in Eukaryota, Metazoa, Arthropoda, Arachnida, Araneae, Nephilidae.
GGGGUAUAGCUCAGUAGUAGAGCAUUCGACUGCAGAUCGAGAGGUCCCUAAUUCAACUGGUGCCCUUCUUCA